GAUUCUGUACACCCCCCUUAUACCAAGGGGUUAAAUCUAUUCCUGCCAAAAGAUUCUUCACUCCCAAGAUGUAAAUUAAACCUCUAAAAGCGUAAAGACAACCAUUCCACCGUCCCUUUAAUGGCAAUUUCAAGUGAUAACACCUCGUGCAAAUGGAGAAACUUCGAAUUUACACUUCAUCACAACCUUCUCCCAUUUUUCACUAUACCAUUUAAUU
This 217-nucleotide long non-coding RNA is filed under the name Nicotiana benthamiana. RNAcentral describes it as "long non-coding RNA (NBEN_LNC018310)". Lineage: Eukaryota; Viridiplantae; Streptophyta; Magnoliopsida; Solanales; Solanaceae. The record is from RNAcentral.